GACUCUCGGCAACGGAUAUCUCGGCUCAUGCAUCGAUGAAGAACGUAGCAAAAUGCGAUACUUGGUGUGAAUUGCAGAAUCCCGUGAACCAUCGAGUUUUUGAACGCAAGUUGCGCCCGAAGCCUUUUGGCCGAGGGCACGUCUGCCUGGGCGUCACAC
RNAcentral lists this ribosomal RNA (159 nucleotides) under Ligularia hodgsonii. RNAcentral describes it as "5.8S ribosomal RNA". It matches the Rfam family "5.8S ribosomal RNA". Rfam says of the family: 5.8S ribosomal RNA (5.8S rRNA) is a component of the large subunit of the eukaryotic ribosome. It is transcribed by RNA polymerase I as part of the 45S precursor that also contains 18S and 28S rRNA. The record is from RNAcentral. Lineage: Eukaryota; Viridiplantae; Streptophyta; Magnoliopsida; Asterales; Asteraceae.